UGCGUAGGCGGUUUUGGUAAGUCAGAUGUGAAAUUCCUGGGCUCAACCGAGGAACUGCAUUUGAUACUGCCAGACUAGAGUACUGGAGAGGAGACUGGAAUUUACAGUGUAGCAGUGAAAUGCGUAGAUAUCGUAAGGAAGGCCAGUGGCGAAGGCGAGUCUCUGGACAGUAACUGACGCUGAGGCACGAAGGCUAGGGGAGCAAACG
Molecule: ribosomal RNA, 208 nt
Filed under: uncultured bacterium
Lineage: Bacteria
Description: partial 16S ribosomal RNA
Rfam family: Bacterial small subunit ribosomal RNA
Source: RNAcentral